UACACACCGCCCGUCGCACCAUGGGAGUGGGUUUCACCAGAAGUAGGUGCCUAACCGCAAGGAGGGCGCUUACCACGGUGAGAUUCAUGACUGGGGUG
This 98-nucleotide ribosomal RNA is filed under the name uncultured bacterium. RNAcentral describes it as "partial 16S ribosomal RNA". It matches the Rfam family "Bacterial small subunit ribosomal RNA", at positions 1384 to 1482 of the family's 1533-position model. The record is from RNAcentral.